Non-coding RNA from Candidatus Roizmanbacteria bacterium, 295 nucleotides. The record is from Rfam. NCBI's taxonomy places the organism in Bacteria, Candidatus Roizmaniibacteriota.
ACGUAAAAAUAAAUCUUUUUGUCCAUAACAUAAUAGGAAAAUAUAAAUCUGGCUAUAUGCUGGAACAUCUUGAUAAGAGUAGGUUACUCGGAUAUAAUCCAGUGAAAAUAUCUGCUCGUUUUACGGAGUUGCCUUUGGGCUCCUGUAAGGCAAGACAAUCAGCAGGAAAGACUAGAUAUAAACGAUCUUCACCAUUGAAGAUAUGAAAUCUAGAAUCCCCACAGACUAUACGCCAGACAUAGCGGUAUAAUAAUGCUGCUUAAAGAUAUAGUCGAAUCCCUAUGGUGACAUAGGG